GCAUUGGUGGUUCAGUGGUAGAAUUCUCGCCUCCCACGUGGGAGAGCCGGGUCUGAUUCCCGGAAAAAUGCA
This is a non-coding RNA of Danio rerio (zebrafish), 72 nucleotides long. Lineage: Eukaryota; Metazoa; Chordata; Actinopteri; Cypriniformes; Danionidae. The record is from Rfam.